Callithrix jacchus (white-tufted-ear marmoset) is the source of this 1373-nucleotide non-coding RNA. The record is from RefSeq and is a predicted model, not a curated record. Lineage: Eukaryota; Metazoa; Chordata; Mammalia; Primates; Cebidae.
ACUCCUCACCUGACCCCUGCCUGCCCCUGCUCUGCCGGCCCCUUCUGCCAGCCCUCCGUCCCUCUCCAGGCCUGGAGCGAGGGGUGCCUCUGGGAGCGGGCACCCCGCAAAACUCCGCUUUCUGGCCCCUGUCUGGGGCCAGCAGCUGUCAUUUGCCGGGCGUUCCGCUUUCUCCACUGUACCAUGCUAAUUUUUCGAGGGACAAUUUUUUGACAAUGAGUCCUCCAGCCCGAACAGAAACCCUUUAUGGGGCCGGCCCCAGGGAGGCCGCGGCGCUGCCAAGGCAAACAAAGGCUCAUUGCUGCGGCGGAACACGCCUGCGCCUUUCGGGGCCGGGUUCGCAGAGCGCGCCGCCUCCAGCCCGCGCCGAGGUAACACCUGGUCCGCCAACUCCUGGCGCCUAAUCAAGAUAUCAAUCAUGGCGCGGGGGCAGGGGGGCGCACGGGCGCCGAAGGCUCCAGAACCCGGCAUGUGCAGAUGGGGAAAAUUAGCUCCGAGAGGUGACAUCUUGCCCGAAGUCCCACGGCUGGUCUGUGGCAAGUGGAGAGUCGCAAGUCUUUCCAAAGGCCCCUGCGCCUAGAACACGCCGUCCGUCGCGCGGCCGCGGCGACAGAGGGAAUGCUUGACUGCCACCUUCUCUCCCUUACCGGCUUGCGGGCGAACCAGCAGGCUUGGGAGAGCAGGAGAUUGGGGAGGGCGGACUCUCCAGCCACGCCUCGUCCCCCGGAGCCUCCACCAAUCCCGGGCCCGGAAAGACCCGCCCGCUGCCGGCCAUGCCCAGCACCUGCGCAGGUAGUGAGCGCAGGUGAACCUCAGGCCGGGGCUUCUAUGGCCGCACUCUGCGCAGAAAAGCUGCGUGGAGAAGCUUCCCAGCAGUCGCUGGGAAGGGCUGGGCCGGGUCGUGGUUCUGCCACUUACUCGCUGUGUGACCUCCUGUGCCUCACUGUGACGUGGGACAACGGUAGUCCCAGCCUCAUAGUGCUCUCUGAGGAUGGAAUGAGCUCUUCCUGCCAGUCAAGCUCAGCCUAGGGCCGGCUGUGAAUGUGGUCAGAAAACCCCACGUGCAGGCCUGCAUCCGCCACCAGACCUUGGUUCGCCGCACUGAGACGCUCUCGCAAGGCUGAUAACGGGCUGUGAGCGAGCUUCCCAAGUGCUGCCUUUGCCCUUGGCCUUGUCUAUCCUGGGACGCACCCCCAGCCUCCCAGGAUCUGGCACUGAAGGGACCUAAUAGGAGACCAACCCCCGCCUGACCCAGACUAUGGGGGCAUUCAUCCUGAGUGGUUAGUGCCCAUGAUGUACUGUUUGUUAAAUAUUUUGAAUAUUAUCCCUGAUCGUCUAAGUAAUAAAAUAUUUUGCUGUUGCCAAAGACAACA